UCCAUUCCAUUUUAUUGGCAAGAGACAUCAGGAAAGUCAUAGAACAUGAUUUAUUGGCGCUUGUUGAUGAUUUUGGGAAAUUCAACGAUCAUCCCUGGGGAUAUGACAGCUAUUACUUGACUGUCAAAUAUUUACUGAAAAAGCUAAAGCCAAAGACUACCACAUUAUAUGGCUUUUCUUGGACUUUCAUGGUAAAUUGAUCAUUAUUUUU
This 211-nucleotide long non-coding RNA is filed under the name Capsicum annuum. Its description in RNAcentral is "long non-coding RNA (CANN_LNC006359)". Lineage: Eukaryota; Viridiplantae; Streptophyta; Magnoliopsida; Solanales; Solanaceae. The record is from RNAcentral.